RNAcentral lists this unclassified non-coding RNA (339 nucleotides) under soil metagenome. RNAcentral's name for it is "partial contains 5.8S ribosomal RNA, internal transcribed spacer 2, and large subunit ribosomal RNA". The stretch from base 1 to 120 matches the Rfam family "5.8S ribosomal RNA", at positions 35 to 154 of the family's 154-position model. The record is from RNAcentral.
GAUGAAGAACGCAGCGAAAUGCGAUAAGUAAUGUGAAUUGCAGAAUUCAGUGAAUCAUCGAAUCUUUGAACGCACAUUGCGCCCGCCAGUAUUCUGGCGAGCAUGCCUGUUCGAGCGUCAUUUCAACCAUCAAGCCCCAGGCUUGUGUUGGAGCCCUGCGGCUGCCGCAGCCUCCCAAAACCAGUGGCGGGCUCGCUAUCACACCGAGUGCAGUAGUUUACUCUUCGCUCAGGGCGUGCGGCGGGCUCCUGCCGUGAAACCCCCCACUGUAACCCCAAAGGUUGACCUCGGAUCAGGUAGGAAUACCCGCUGAACUUAAGCAUAUCAAUAAGCGGAGGA